UAGGGAAUCUUCGGCAAUGGACGAAAGUCUGACCGAGCAACGCCGCGUGAGUGAAGAAGGUUUUCGGAUCGUAAAACUCUGUUGUUAGAGAAGAACAAGUACGUUAGUAACUGAACGUCCCCUGACGGUAUCUAACCAGAAAGCCACGGCUAACUACGUGCCAGCAGCCGCGGUAAUACGUAGGUGGCAAGCGUUGUCCGGAUUUAUUGGGCGUAAAGUGAGCGCAGGCGGUUUCUUAAGUCUGAUGUGAAAGCCCCCGGCUCAACCGGGGAGGGUCAUUGGAAACUGGGAGACUUGAGUGCAGAAGAGGAGAGUGGAAUUCCAUGUGUAGCGGUGAAAUGCGUAGAGAUAUGGAGGAACACCAGUGGCGAAGGCGGCUCUCUGGUCUGUAACUGACGCUGAGGCUCGAAAGCGUGGGGAGCAAACAGG
This 429-nucleotide ribosomal RNA is filed under the name Gemmatimonadota bacterium. RNAcentral describes it as "Gemmatimonadetes bacterium partial 16S ribosomal RNA". It matches the Rfam family "Bacterial small subunit ribosomal RNA", at positions 355 to 776 of the family's 1533-position model. The record is from RNAcentral. Lineage: Bacteria; Pseudomonadati; Gemmatimonadota.